Molecule: long non-coding RNA, 466 nt
Filed under: Homo sapiens (human)
Lineage: Eukaryota; Metazoa; Chordata; Mammalia; Primates; Hominidae
Description: non-protein coding lnc-SUMO4-5:4
Source: RNAcentral
UAAAAUGUGUUAUUUGCCACCUUUAAAACUUCUCCAUGGUGCUGAGAGGUCCAUCAGUCAAACUGCCACAUUUUACAGAUGAGGUUGAGCUGAAAGCCUGACCCACCGCGUGCUCCAGCGCAGCCUUCUCAGGGUUCGGCUUUGGAGUGGGGAGUGCGGUACAAGGCCUUACCGGGCAUUUGCUCAGCUAAAAAUAAAGCGAAGCUGGCUUCUGUCUGCUAUCACUCCUUAUACGUAUACAGCUAGCUGCUCAGAAAACUUGAAAAUGAACUAUUUAGCUGGACAAUCAUGUGCUCUGCUUAAAACCCUACUCUAUGGAAGAGUCUACGUAGGGGAUCACAUAGCAGUCCAGCAUAGAGAGGAAAUGGAGGUGUGGUAACUAAAAUCAGAUCUUCUUACUCAUACUCACGGACAACCAGAAAGCAGAAGCUGCCUUUUGCAAACUCAAAGUUACUUUUGAGGUUAA